Molecule: ribosomal RNA, 253 nt
Filed under: uncultured bacterium
Lineage: Bacteria
Description: partial 16S ribosomal RNA
Rfam family: Bacterial small subunit ribosomal RNA
Source: RNAcentral
UACGGAGGGUGCGAGCGUUAUUCGGAAUUACUGGGCGUAAAGCGCGUGCAGGCGGGAGAGUGGGUCUGAUGUGAAAGCCCGGGGCUUAACCCCGGAAGAGCAUUGGAAACUGUUCUUCUUGAGUUUCGGAGAGGAAGGGGGAAUUCCCGGUGUAGAGGUGAAAUUCGUAGAGAUCGGGAGGAACACCAGUGGCGAAGGCGCCCUUCUGGACGACAACUGACGAUGAGACGCGAAAGCGUGGGGAGCAAACAGG